UGGGGAAUUUUGGACAAUGGGCGAAAGCCUGAUCCAGCAAUGCCGCGUGUGUGAAGAAGGCCUUCGGGUUGUAAGGCACUUUUGUCCGGAAAGAAAUCCUUGGCUCUAAUACAGUCGGGGGAUGACGGUACCGGAAGAAUAAGCACCGGCUAACUACGUGCCAGCAGCCGCGGUAAUACGUAGGGUGCAAGCGUUAAUCGGAAUUACUGGGCGUAAAGCGUGCGCAGGCGGUUUGCUAAGACCGAUGUGAAAUCCCCGGGCUCAACCUGGGAACUGCAUUGGUGACUGGCAGGCUAGAGUAUGGCAGAGGGGGGUAGAAUUCCACGUGUAGCAGUGAAAUGCGUAGAGAUGUGGAGGAAUACCGAUGGCGAAGGCAGCCCCCUGGGCCAAUACUGACGCUCAUGCACGAAAGCGUGGGGAGCAAACAGGAUUAGAUACCCUGGUAGUCCACGCCCUAAAACGAUGUCAACUAGUUGUUGGGGAUUCAUUUCCUUAGUAACGUAGCUAACGCGUGAAGUUGACCGCCUGGGGAGUACGGUCGCAAGAUUAAAACUCAAAGGAAUUGACGGGGUCAUAGCUGUUU
Molecule: ribosomal RNA, 583 nt
Filed under: uncultured bacterium
Lineage: Bacteria
Description: partial 16S ribosomal RNA
Rfam family: Bacterial small subunit ribosomal RNA
Source: RNAcentral